GAAACUACGAGACAUUGCGACCCUCGCGGUAAAUAAACAUACAAAGCUGUAAAGAAUGUUUGCAUAGCUUUUGUAUUACGUCGUUCGCUCCGGUUCAUUUGACGUUUUGAAAGACAAUGGCUCUGAAACAUGUGAUUAUAGGCGGUGGUACCGGCUACAUUGGCUCUGCACUUGCAUUUGCUUUAAGAGCUGAAGGAGCAACUGUCAGUAUUAUUUCUCGCAAAGCUAAAGGGCCUAAUCAAGUUUCUUGGGAAGAUGUGAAGAAAAACGGACUUCCAAAGGACACAACCGCUGUGAUAAACGUUGCAGGUCAAAACAUCUUGGAUCCCACCAAACGAUGGGGCAAAGACUUCAAGACAGAGGUUUGGGACAGUCGAGUGAACACCACCAGGGCCCUGGCAGAAGCGGUAAAGAAUUCUGGAGCUGAGGUAUUCGCGACUGUUUCUGGAGUGGCUUACUACAAGCCGAAUGACAAAGAAUGGACGGAGGAUGACAAGUGUGAAAAGUAUGAUUACCUGUCAGAACUGUGCCAUGAGUGGGAGGCAGCUGCAGAUCUACCAGCAGACAGUAAAUGCAGGAGAGUGACAGUUCGUUCUGGAGUGGUUUUGGGAAGAACUGGCGGAAUGAUCAAGCAAGCUUUCAUUCCUUUUUUUCUGGGUCUUGGCGGACCUAUAGGAGUAGGCACACAACCAAUGCCUUGGAUACAUAUUGCAGACUUGGUAAAUUUAUUCAAGUUCUCUGUUAAAGAGACCAAAGUUCGUGGAAUUUUAAAUGGAGUUGCACCUGAGAUUAUUACAAACAAAGAAUUUACAGCAGAGUUUGCGAAAGCUUUGAAGAGGCCAGCUAUAAUUCCUCUUCCAGAAUUUGUGAUUAACUUAAUUUUUGGAGGAGAACGAGCAAAGGUAUAUUUUAACAGAGAAGUGCUGAUGAGAAGUGGUAUAGGAAAAAAAUAUCCACAGACUUUCUUAGGAGAGCAAGUUUCCUGGGGGUACUUUACGCUAAAAGUUAUCUUUCAUACCCCCGACAGAUUGUUCUUGAAGGACAGAAAGUGAAGCCAAAGCGAGUACUGGACUAUGGAUUUCAGUACAAAUACCCAACAAUUACGGAGGCAUGCAAACAAUUUUCUGUUCUCUCUCCAAAAACUGCAUAUUGAGCUCUGAGUAUUUCUGCUUCCCUCAUCCCGACAAGAUCAUUACUAACAUGGGGGGGAGCCUCUACAUUAGUGUAUCCUUUGCCAAAACAGUGAACAAGUGCAUGGAGACGACGUGCGCGGUGUUGUGUACUGUGUGUUCCCGCCUGUAGCACACAGAUGCAGAGAUCAUGAUCUCUGACAAAUGUGCCAAUUCAGUUUCAAGGUCCACCAUAGGAAAAAUUUAUAGAGAAGAGGAAACUCAUGCGUCAAGUUGACCUGUACUGCUGUACGGACCAUCGGUAAAACAAACACUAGCAAUUCAUCGACAG
Diachasmimorpha longicaudata is the source of this 1461-nucleotide RNA transcript. It is a transcript of the gene named epimerase family protein SDR39U1, with no coding region annotated. The transcript is spliced from 7 exons. The record is from RefSeq and is a predicted model, not a curated record. NCBI's taxonomy places the organism in Eukaryota, Metazoa, Arthropoda, Insecta, Hymenoptera, Braconidae.